RNAcentral lists this ribosomal RNA (511 nucleotides) under Bacteroidaceae bacterium. RNAcentral's name for it is "bacterial SSU rRNA". It matches the Rfam family "Bacterial small subunit ribosomal RNA", at positions 1 to 517 of the family's 1533-position model. Lineage: Bacteria; Pseudomonadati; Bacteroidota; Bacteroidia; Bacteroidales; Bacteroidaceae. The record is from RNAcentral.
ACAGAGAAGAGUUUGAUCCUGGCUCAGGAUGAACGCUAGCUACAGGCUUAACACAUGCAAGUCGAGCGGAACAGCUUCUGCUGUUUAGCGGCAGACGGGUGAGUAACACGUAUCCAACCUUUCCCUUACCCGGGUAUAGCCUCGGGAAACUGAGAGUAAUCCCCGAUGUGGUGUACGAGAAGCAUUUGUUGCACACCAAAGAUUCAUCGGUAAGGGGUGGGGAUGCGUUCCAUUAGCUAGUAGGCGGGGUAACGGCCCACCUAGGCGAUGAUGGAUAGGGGUUCUGAGAGGAAGGUCCCCCACACUGGAACUGCGACACGGUCCAGACUCCUACGGGAGGCAGCAGUGAGGAAUAUUGGACAAUGGUCGGAAGACUGAUCCAGCCAUGCCGCGUGAAGGAAGACGGUCCUAUGGAUUGUAAACUUCUUUUGUACGGGAGCAAUAAGGGCGUCGUGACGUCCGAUGAGAGUACCGUACGAAUAAGCAUCGGCUAACUCCGUGCCAGCAGCCG